AUUGAACGCUGGCGGCAGGCCUAACACAUGCAAGUCGAGCGGAUGAAGGGAGCUUGCUCCUGGAUUCAGCGGCGGACGGGUGAGUAAUGCCUAGGAAUCUGCCUGGUAGUGGGGGAUAACGUCCGGAAACGGGCGCUAAUACCGCAUACGUCCUGAGGGAGAAAGUGGGGGAUCUUCGGACCUCACGCUAUCAGAUGAGCCUAGGUCGGAUUAGCUACUUGGUGGGGUAAAGGCCUACCAAGGCGACGAUCCGUAACUGGUCUGAGAGGAUGAUCAGUCACACUGGAACUGAGACACGGUCCAGACUCCUACGGGAGGCAGCAGUGGGGAAUAUUGGACAAUGGGCGAAAGCCUGAUCCAGCCAUGCCGCGUGUGUGAAGAAGGUCUUCGGAUUGUAAAGCACUUUAAGUUGGGAGGAAGGGCAGUAAGUUAAUACCUUGCUGUUUUGACGUUACCAACAGAAUAAGCACCGGCUAACUUCGUG
This 484-nucleotide ribosomal RNA is filed under the name uncultured bacterium. RNAcentral's name for it is "partial 16S ribosomal RNA". It matches the Rfam family "Bacterial small subunit ribosomal RNA", at positions 30 to 507 of the family's 1533-position model. The record is from RNAcentral.